AUUGUGCAAUAUUAUUUCUGCAAUAUUGCAGCUAUAUUGCAAAGAUAUUAAUUUGCAGUAACAACUGAAUAUCCGUGAACGAAUGUUCUAUGCGACGCUAAACGCUUUAACCUCCUCUUUUUACCUCCUCUUUUAACCUCUAUUCGUUGAUAGAUGUUACAAAAAACUUGACUGCGAUUGUUCAAACUGAUCUAGAUCGCAGUCAUAUUUUCAUCUCAAACGAGAAAGAACGCUUAUCGACAUAUAAUGGCAACAUGACACAAAUGUAUGUUGAGAAACUGACGGAGCUUUAUAACCUUUCUGAAAGGCCUUAUUGUGAUUAGACUAUAAGCUAUUUCGAUUCGCUUUUAUACAAAAUGAACGAAUUUUAAAGAAAAAAGUGUUAUUCUACUCCGUAAAGCAAUAUGAUUUUGAUCAAUAUUGCAAAUAACGAAGCUGUUCGUAUAUCCCACAGCGCAAUGACAGACAACGACUAUGCGGAAUAUGUAUCGAAAUGGCUUGCACAAGCACUGUAUGGAUUUCAAGGCAGAAAAUUGGAGAAACGGUGGCUCAUGA
This is a long non-coding RNA of Harpegnathos saltator (Jerdon's jumping ant), 555 nucleotides long. RefSeq lists it as uncharacterized. NCBI's taxonomy places the organism in Eukaryota, Metazoa, Arthropoda, Insecta, Hymenoptera, Formicidae. The record is from RefSeq and is a predicted model, not a curated record. The transcript has 3 exons.